UCGUACAUGAUGUUAACUCUAAUCUGAAAGAAAGCUAUGCUGAUUUCACACUAAUUUAAACCAAAAGGAUACUGAAGAUGC
Molecule: small nucleolar RNA, 81 nt
Organism: Eupeodes corollae
Lineage: Eukaryota; Metazoa; Arthropoda; Insecta; Diptera; Syrphidae
Product: small nucleolar RNA Me28S-Cm3227
Exons: 1
Source: RefSeq, a predicted model, not a curated record